UUCGAGCCUAGCUGACAAAACAAACAAAACACUGUAAAUCUUCAAGUACCUAACAAAAUUGUUUGAGCCUAGAUACAAAACUAACAAAACUACAUAUGGCAGAAGAAAACAAAAUAUAUAUGCACUCAGUUAUCUAACUAAUGGUUGAUAAAACUUGUUGUCUACCGUUCAGUACAAUCUCAUUGCCCUGUGUUGUUAAAACAUAU
This 206-nucleotide long non-coding RNA is filed under the name Oryza brachyantha (malo sina). RNAcentral's name for it is "long non-coding RNA (OBRA_LNC001531)". The record is from RNAcentral. Lineage: Eukaryota; Viridiplantae; Streptophyta; Magnoliopsida; Poales; Poaceae.